This 20-nucleotide microRNA is filed under the name Monodelphis domestica (gray short-tailed opossum). Its description in RNAcentral is "mdo-miR-7388c-5p". The record is from miRBase by way of RNAcentral. Lineage: Eukaryota; Metazoa; Chordata; Mammalia; Didelphimorphia; Didelphidae.
UGCACAGACGUGACAUUUUA